GCAAAACGCGAAGAACCUUACCAGGCCUUGACAUGCAGAGAACUUUCCAGAGAUGGAUUGGUGCCUUCGGGAACUCUGACACAGGUGCUGCAUGGCUGUCGUCAGCUUGUGUCGUGAGAUGUUGGGUUAAGUCCCGUAACGAGCGCAACCCUUGUCCUUAGUUACCAGCACGUUAUGGUGGGCACUCUAAGGAGACUGCCGGUGACAAACCGGAGGAAGGUGGGGAUGACGUCAAGUCAUCAUGGCCCUUACGGCCUGGGCUACACACGUGCUACAAUGGUCGGUACAGAGGGUUGCCAAGCCGCGAGGUGGAGCUAAUCUCACAAAACCGAUCGUAGUCCGGAUCGCAGUCUGCAACUCGACUGCGUGAAGUCGGAAUCGCUAGUAAUCGCGAAUCAGAAUGUCGCGGUGAAUACGUUCCCGGGUCUUGUACACACCG
RNAcentral lists this ribosomal RNA (439 nucleotides) under uncultured bacterium. RNAcentral describes it as "bacterial SSU rRNA". It matches the Rfam family "Bacterial small subunit ribosomal RNA", at positions 954 to 1392 of the family's 1533-position model. The record is from RNAcentral.